AAAGGAAAGGUAAGUACUUUACAUGUACCAUUGCCAAUAUCUUGAGUCCUUGGGAGACAUGAAAUGAAAAUUAAAACACCCAUGUUUAUUCUAUUUAUGGCUAGGCAUACACACUUUCGAAUGUCCAUCACAACUCAUCAGCAAUUUUAUAUAGUGCAAAAUAUGAUGAAACAUGAAGUAUUUAACUUAAAUUAGUUUCUGAUGAAGUAAAU
RNAcentral lists this unclassified non-coding RNA (212 nucleotides) under Hevea brasiliensis (rubber tree). Lineage: Eukaryota; Viridiplantae; Streptophyta; Magnoliopsida; Malpighiales; Euphorbiaceae. The record is from RNAcentral.